Long non-coding RNA from Panicum hallii, 1665 nucleotides. RefSeq lists it as uncharacterized. The record is from RefSeq and is a predicted model, not a curated record. The transcript has 4 exons. NCBI's taxonomy places the organism in Eukaryota, Viridiplantae, Streptophyta, Magnoliopsida, Poales, Poaceae.
GACUCUCAUUUUUGCUCCUCCCAUACUUUCCCCUCUCUCAUUAAGAGACUACUUGAGAUAGUUCUAGUUCUUCCGAUCAUACGUAUAUGACAUCCUAUGGCUGAGGCUGGAGAAGAUAAGGAAUAAGUUGAGGAGGCAAGGCAUAAAUGGACCCAAGCCUACUGUACUCUAUGGCAACACCCAGGAGAUGAAGAGAAUCCAACAUGAACAGCUACAUCUCCAUCAAAUUCCCUCAUUUCCUUCAUUGGAGGAAGACUUAUGUGAUAUCUGGUCCAUACCCUGUAUGUACAACUUUCCACGAACAAACCUAGAGAGGAAGACUAUGGUAUGUACAGAAUCCUUGUUUUUGCUGUUCUGUUUGGUUGCCUGGCUAACUCCUGGCCAGGCUCCCCAGAGCCAACCAGCGAACGUUCGGUUGCCUGUUCAAGCACUUCAGCCAGGCUCUACCAAUACAAGGAGGGGCAACCAAUACAAGGAGGGGCCUUUAGCCAGGCUCGCUGGGAACGUGGAGAUCGAGCGUUUCCACGGAGCCUAGCUCCGCUGAUGCAUCUUCUCGAGUUAGCUCACCUCCCGGGUCUCUCUCACGGCGCUCUCUCGAGUCGAGCUCGGCACGCGACCGCGGAGCUUGCCGGAGCCCGCCCGCGGCCCGCGAAGCCGCAGCUCGCUCGCCCGCCCGAGGCUGCCGCGAAGCUCCUUUGAAGCUCGCCCCCGGCGGCGGAGCACGCUCGGUGCGGCCAAGUUAUUGCAGCGGGGAGGAGCUUUUGCGGGCGCGUUCACGGCAGCUGAGUUCGCCCGCGCGCAGCCAGGGGAGCUCCGUCGGUGAUCUGCUCGGCGGCUCCCGCCAGCACGCGCCGGGGAGCUCGCCCGUGCGCGGCCGGGGGAGCUCCGCCGGCGGCCGGCUCGCGCGGCUCCCGCACGCGCGCGCCGCGCACCGGCAGCUCUGCUCCUGCCAGCGGUGCCUCACAUCUCCCUCGGCGUCAAGCUGGGCGUUCAGUACAGGUGGUUGCUGUGCUCGCGUGAUCUUGGCUGUUUGCUAAAGUAAUUAGCAUGUUGCCACUCGAUGGGCCUAUAUUCCUUUACUCAACAGGAGCUGUGGAGAUAUUGCAUGUUGCUCAGCCAGAAAUGGUGACAUGGGCCGCUGGACUCCAUCAGAGCUUCCGAAGCCACAUUAUCUUAUGAGAUCACGUAAGCCUGUCUUUGGAGAAGGUAUAUUGUCAGCAAAUGGCUUGGGCCUAUGAGAAGAAGAUCCUUGCACCAGAGUUCUUCAUGGAAAAAAUUAAGGGCUAAUUGUGGAUGCAACAGUUCCACUGUUACAAGCAUGGGAGAAUAUUCUUGAUGGCACAGGAAGUAGUAAGGAGAUCUAUGUUGAUGGAUACCUGAGGAACUUUUCAGCGGAUGUGAUUGCCAGAGCUUGUUUUGGGAGCAGUUUCACAAAAGGAUUUUGCAAGCUUAGGCAGCUCCAGAAGGCAAUUUCUCAACAGGAUACAUUCGUAGGAUUAUCUGCAUUGUGGUAUGGAAAUUUGAUUCAUUGAGAAACUUCUAAUGCUUGAAAGAGAACAGAUUGAAAAGUUGUCCUUGCUGUUUUUAUUUUGUUUGUGACUUCUAAUUUAUUUUGUUUGUGACUUCCUUUAUUAUUAAAGGUAUUUUAAGCCUGAUUUAACUUUU